Oncorhynchus gorbuscha (pink salmon) is the source of this 546-nucleotide long non-coding RNA. RefSeq lists it as uncharacterized. The transcript has 3 exons. The record is from RefSeq and is a predicted model, not a curated record. Lineage: Eukaryota; Metazoa; Chordata; Actinopteri; Salmoniformes; Salmonidae.
GGGUCAUGUACAGUGAGAGGAAGCAUAGGGAACAUACCACACCUCCAGAUUGGAAACCUCUUAUGAUGGUCUGUUUAUUUGAAUGCUAACAUGCUGGAAAUACUGUGUUGCGUGGAGUCUUGAGAUGAAAAGGCCCAGUCUGUGACCCAGCCCCUUGACCGGCGCACACGGUAGAGCUGGAUUCUAUCAGAGCCAAACAGUGGUUCAGAUGCUUCUUUCUCUCUAACUCCUGUAGAACGGGCAGAAGAGGAGCGGUAGCUGGCACCCUCUCACACAGGUAUCCUGUUGCUGAGGGCGGGGUCAUGGCUCUCUGUGACAGCUCACCACGACGUGCUCUCUGGAUCAGAGGAGGGCGCCACGUGACACCGCCCUCCCUCACCUCUACUGACCUUCACCCCAACGUACCCGUUCAGGGUAUGUCUGAGUGCAACAUCCUCUCUGAACCCCCACUCAUGUAGCCACGAUCAAUGUCAUAUGCAGCCAAUCGUUUCUUCACUGCAUGUUUACUGUACAUCCUGGAGCCCACCCAUAAGCCUAAUCAUCUAU